RNAcentral lists this ribosomal RNA (490 nucleotides) under uncultured bacterium. Its description in RNAcentral is "partial 16S ribosomal RNA". It matches the Rfam family "Bacterial small subunit ribosomal RNA", at positions 32 to 507 of the family's 1533-position model. The record is from RNAcentral.
AUUCAACGCUGGCGGCAGGCCUAACACAUGCAAGUCGAACGGUAACAGGAAGCAGCUUGCUGCUUUGCUGACGAGUGGCGGACGGGUGAGUAAUGUCUGGGAAACUGCCCGAUGGAGGGGGAUAACUACUGGAAACGGUAGCUAAUACCGCAUAACGUCGCAAGACCAAAGAGGGGGACCUUAGGGCCUCUUGCCAUCGGAUGUGCCCAGAUGGGAUUAGCUAGUAGGUGGGGUAACGGCUCACCUAGGCGACGAUCCCUAGCUGGUCUGAGAGGAUGACCAGCCACACUGGAACUGAGACACGGUCCAGACUCCUACGGGAGGCAGCAGUGGGGAAUAUUGCACAAUGGGCGCAAGCCUGAUGCAGCCAUGCCGCGUGUAUGAAGAAGGCCUUCGGGUUGUAAAGUACUUUCAGCGGGGAGGAAGGGAGUAAAGUUAAUACCUUUGCUCAUUGACGUUACCCGCAGAAGAAGCACCGGCUAACUCCGUG